This 253-nucleotide ribosomal RNA is filed under the name uncultured bacterium. RNAcentral describes it as "partial 16S ribosomal RNA". It matches the Rfam family "Bacterial small subunit ribosomal RNA", at positions 524 to 776 of the family's 1533-position model. The record is from RNAcentral.
GACGAACCGUGCGAACGUUGUUCGGAUUCACUGGGCUUAAAGGGCGCGUAGGCGGCGCAGCCAGUCCGGGGUGAAAGCUUUCGGCCUAACCGGAAAAGGGCCUUGGAUACUGCUGCGCUCGAGGGGGACAGGGGCAGGUGGAACUUCCGGUGGAGCGGUGAAAUGCGUAGAUAUCGGAAGGAACUCCGGUGGCGAAAGCGACCUGCUGGAUCCCUACUGACGCUGAGGCGCGAAAGCCAGGGGAGCAAACGGG